GACGAAGGGGGCUAGCGUUGUUCGGAAUUACUGGGCGUAAAGCGCGUGUAGGCGGUUGUCCAAGUUGGAUGUGAAAGCCUUGAGCUUAACUCAAGAAAUGCAUUCAGGACUGGAUGACUAGAGGACCGGAGAGGAUAGUGGAAUUCCCAGUGUAGUGGUGAGAUACGUAGAGAUUGGGAAGAACACCAGUGGCGAAGGCGGCUAUCUGGACGGUUUCUGACGCUAAGACGCGAAAGCGUGGGGAGCAAACAGG
RNAcentral lists this ribosomal RNA (253 nucleotides) under uncultured bacterium. RNAcentral describes it as "partial 16S ribosomal RNA". It matches the Rfam family "Bacterial small subunit ribosomal RNA", at positions 524 to 776 of the family's 1533-position model. The record is from RNAcentral.